GCUAGCGUAGCUCAGCUGGUAGAGCAGCGCAUUCGUAAUGCGCAGGCCACCGGUUCGAUCCCGGUCGCUAGCUCAA
This 76-nucleotide transfer RNA is filed under the name Bacteroidota bacterium. Its description in RNAcentral is "Bacteroidetes bacterium (bioreactor sludge metagenome) tRNA-Thr". It matches the Rfam family "tRNA". Rfam says of the family: Transfer RNA (tRNA) molecules are approximately 80 nucleotides in length. Their secondary structure includes four short double-helical elements and three loops (D, anti-codon, and T loops). The record is from RNAcentral. Lineage: Bacteria; Pseudomonadati; Bacteroidota.